Molecule: ribosomal RNA, 465 nt
Filed under: uncultured bacterium
Lineage: Bacteria
Description: partial 16S ribosomal RNA
Rfam family: Bacterial small subunit ribosomal RNA
Source: RNAcentral
CCUACGGGGGGCAGCAGUGGGGAAUAUUGCGCAAUGGGCGAAAGCCUGACGCAGCGACGCCGCGUGAGGGAUGAAGGUCUUCGGAUCGUAAACCUCUGUCAGCAGGGAAGAACGGUCACUGUGCUAAUCAGCAGUGAAUUGACGGUACCUGCAAAGGAAGCACCGGCUAACUCCGUGCCAGCAGCCGCGGUAAUACGGAGGGUGCGAGCGUUAAUCGGAAUUACUGGGCGUAAAGCGCUCGUAGGCGGUAUGGCAAGUCAAGGGUGAAAUCCCCGCGCUCAACGUGGGAACUGCCUUUGAAACGGGCAAACUGGAGUGUGUGAGAGGAAAGUGGAAUUCCAGGUGUAGGAGUGAAAUGCGUAGAUACCUGGAGGAACAUCAGUGGCGAAGGCGACUAUCUGGCACAUAACUGACGCUGAGGAGCGAAAGCGUGGGUAGCAAACAGGAUUAGAUACCCCAGUAGUC